Molecule: RNA transcript, 6408 nt
Organism: Tyto alba (common barn owl)
Lineage: Eukaryota; Metazoa; Chordata; Aves; Strigiformes; Tytonidae
Gene: IFFO1
Gene name: intermediate filament family orphan 1
Exons: 11
Source: RefSeq, a predicted model, not a curated record
GGGGGAGCGGGUUCUCCGGCCCCGCCGCCGCAUCCCCGCCGCAGCGGAAGCCGCACCCCCCCCCCCCCCCGCCGCCGCCGGGGCCCGGCCCGGGCGCUGCCCCCCCGGCGCAUCCCGCCCCCCCCGCCGCGCCCCUGAUUGGCGCCGGCGGCCCCGGCUCCCCCCCCCCCCCACCGCCGUGCCCCUCUUUCCCCGUCCCGCAGCCGCCAUGAACCCGCUCUUCGGCCCCAACCUCUUCCUCCUGCCGCAGGAGCAGCAGGGGCUGCCGGGCCCCGACCUGCCGCCGCCGCCCGCCCCGCGCCCCGCCGAGCCCCUGGGGGGGGAGCUGGCCGCCCCGCCGCCCGCCAGCCCCUUCCCCGCGCCGCCCGCCGCCAUGGCCCUCCGCAACGACCUGGGCUCCAACAUCAGCGUCCUGAAGACGCUGAACCUGCGGUUCCGCUGCUUCCUGGCCAAGGUCCACGAGCUGGAGCGGCGCAACCGGCAGCUGGAGAAGCAGCUGCAGCAGGCGCUGGAGGAGGGGGGCGGCGGGGGGAGCCGGGGCCGGGGACCCCCGCGCCGCGACCAGGCGGUGCAGACCGGCUUCGUGGGCCCCAUCCGCACCCUGGGGCUGGGGCUGGGGCUGGGGCUGGCGCCGGCCCGGUCGCCGGCUUCCCCCGGCUGCCGCCCCGGCGCCCCCGGCCCGGCGCCUCCUCCUCCCUUCCCGGCCGCUUCCCGCUUCAUGCCCGGCACCAUCUGGUCCUUCUCGCAAGCCCGACGGCUCGGCCCCGGGCCGGAGACCACCCUGGUGCAGGGACCGGGGGUCUCCUGGGUCCACCCGGACGGGGUGGGCGUGCAGAUCGACACCAUCACCCCGGAGAUCCGGGCCCUCUACAACGUGCUGGCCAAGGUGAAGAGGGAGCGCGACGAGUACAAGCGCAGAUGGGAAGAGGAGUACACGGUGCGCGUUCAGCUUCAGGACCGGGUGACUGAGCUGCAGGAGGAAGCCCAGGAGGCUGAAGCCUGCCAGGAGGAACUGGCCAUGAAGGUGGAGCAGCUCAAGGCCGAGCUGGUUGUCUUCAAGGGACUGAUGAGCAACAACAUCACGGAGCUGGACACCAAGAUCCAGGAGAAGGCCAUGAAGGUGGACAUGGACAUCUGCCGGCGCAUCGACAUCACUGCCAAGCUGUGCGAUGUGGCACAGCAGCGGAACUGCGAGGACAUGAUCAAGAUGUUUCAGAAGCAACUGUCUCUGCACUUGUCUCCCGUUAAGGUCCCAGCCUCGGUGGGGCGGAAGCGGGAGCGCAAGCAGGUCAGCGACGAAGACACGUCACUGUCGGAGAGCGAUGCCUCCCGAAAACCCGAAGAGGAAGAGGAGGAUGAGACCACAGCCAUGAGUAUCAAUGAGGAAAUGCAGAGGAUGCUGAACCAGCUGAGGGAGUAUGACUUUGAGGAUGACUGCGACAGCCUCACGUGGGAGGAGACAGAAGAAACGCUGCUUCUCUGGGAGGACUUCUCUGGAUACGCCAUUGCAGCCGCAGAGGUGCAGGGGGAGCAGGAUGACAGCCUGGAGAAGGUGAUCAAGGACACAGAGUCACUGUUCAAGAGCCGUGAGAAGGAGUACCAGGAAACCAUCGACCAAAUAGAGCUGGAGCUGGCCACAGCCAAGAACGACAUGAACCGGCACCUGCACGAGUACAUGGAAAUGUGCAGCAUGAAGCGAGGCUUGGAUGUGCAGAUGGAGACUUGCCGGCGGCUCAUCACCCAGUCUGGGGACAGGAAGUCUCCUGCCUUCACCCCAGCCUCCAACAGCGAGUCAGCCCCGAACGAGGAGAGCGAGGAGUCUGACCGUGACCCCCCCAGCGACGCUUCCAUCAGAUAAUGAGGGGAGGCCCCGCUCCCUUGGACCCCCUUCCUGGCACGGGGGUGCCUGAUCUGCACCUGGGAGAGACUGUCAGGGACGUGGAGCCACUGGACCGUCCACUGAGCAGUGGACCCAGGCUGCACAGCCAAGGCGAGUGAAGCUCCAGAGAAAAACGCUUCUCUCAAAAGAUCCUGAAGGGAAGAAGAGAAAGCAGGUGGCAGUACAGUUUUUGGAUCAUCCCUGAGAUUAGGUGAAGUAGAUAAAAUAGGGGCCGAGGGGUGCAACAGUUUAUCUCCCUAUGCUGGCUUGGGUAGCUAGCGCUGCUGUGUACUUGAGCUGCAAGCACCAGCGUGCCCAGUGGGGAGGGGGUCGGCGUUUGGGCAGGGUGAGGUCCUCUGCCUGUGCCCACAAGAUGUGUUAAGGCACGUGCUGGCGUUUCAGCGUGGGCUCAGCUGGCUGCCCAGAGCUGGGAGGGAGGCGAGUCCCUGCAAAUGGCAGGAGAAGUCAGCAGCUGAGGAAACCUCCAGGCCAGGGCACGGCGGGGGCACUGCCGCUGGUGCCAGAAAAUGGCAGUUCCUCCCCCGAUAGCCUGCUGGGGCUGGACCCUUGACUGGUGAGUGCCAUCCUUGCCUCUCGGGGGGAAGCGGGGAGAGCGUCUCCCGGGAGCAGCGGAGGUGUGCUCCCCCCACCCUGGCUUUGUGCGGCUGUUGGGGCAGACGGGACGUGUGUACCUCGGGGCCUGCCUCGAGACAGGGACUUCGUCGCGGGCCUCGCCUCCAUGCCACCUUGCCCAACCCUUGCUGUUGCUUUCCUUUUUAUUUUUCUUCCUAAAAGAGCUAAAGCCAGAGGAAGUAUGUUAAUCUGGGCUUUUUCUUUCGAGUGAUGAUGCCUCACAUGCAGUAGAUCAGGGAUCGCUUUCUAUCCUGCCUGGAGGCUCUUCUGAUUUAUGCAAAUCCCUUUCCCAUACAUGUCUUUGCAGCAUUUUCUGCUCUUUCGCUGAUGCAGAAAUCUCCAUGAGUGGCUAGCUAAGUCUGGCUUCCCCGAGUGCAUAGUCCAUGACAUGCGUGCCUUGGCCUCUUGGUACUGCUUAAAAAACCCACAGGACUGUACAGCGUGUACGCUGAGAGAUUUCAAGGACGGAGAGCGGAAGGACCAAUAUCUCAGUCUGGAGCAGUCAUUGCUCAGGAGAGCAGCCACACACCUGUGUACCGGGACACGUGGGGAAUCGCAGUCCCACACUGCUUGUCAGAACUUCAUUUGCAGUGAAACUGAGAUCUCUUCCCCCACCCAUGUGUGCAAGAUGCCGUUCUCUGGUGAAUUGUAUCACCAGCAAUAGCUUCCAGUCCCCCACCAGUGUGACAGCCCCUGAGACCUCACUUGUAGGACGUGCAACGCUGAUCCUUUGCCUCAGCAAUGUCUCAGCGUGGGAAGCACAACCCAAAGCCUCCAGUGUUAGCCAGGCCGUCUGCCCUGAAUAUGAGGAGAUGCGGACCUUCAAUCUAUUUAACUCUUCUCUGUGGGCUCCUUCCCAUUCUUUGGGGAGCAUCUAGCCUGUUUUUCUCCACCAUGAGCCCUGGUGGGAACUGUAGUGUCUAGGAACUGCACUUCUCUCAUUGUUGCUUCUUGUGUCCCUAACCUUUUCCAGGACACCUCUCGGCAGCGUCUGCUCGGGAAGCAGUAUCAGAAGAAAUUGUCUAGCGAAGACCCAAGUCUUGGCUGCUUGAUCUUUCUGAACACCUGCCGGUCCACAUUCAUCUCAGAGGCAACAAUCAUAUCUCAUUUACGCUUAGACCCCAGCCCAUUCAAAAAUCUUUGUUUGGCCUAAACUUUCUGCAGGACUUGGUUGCAGGGGCAGCUUGGCCAUGGAUGGAGUGGGCCUUUUCCUAUUCUUGACCAAGAUAAUGAAUUGAUGAAAUGAACUUUGGAGGAACAGGUCAGUUACUCUUUCCAGCUGACCAUGCUCACCUGUGAGCAUGUUGCAGCUGAGUCUAGUCUGGUUCUUAGCACACCAGAGCAGAUCUUGGCAUGCAGGGGACACAGUCCUAUCUCACGCAGGGUCCACGUGUUAAUGUGAAUGUUUGUUGCCCAACUGAAUGGGGUUCCAUGGCAUCUGGGAAGUCCCUCUCUCAGCAUCCCUCUUGGGACUGUGGCUGCUGUUUCGUGGCCUCCGUGAACACUUGUCCAAGACAAUCCUUUUAGGAUAAUGUCUCCCUGGAUUGGCAGGGAGGUCCUCCCCUAUGUAGGCAUGCUGGCUCAGCUCCCCCACCCUACAGAAGUCCACGUUGGUUGAGAUUUACUCAGGCAGUCUGGAAACAUGCUAGUGAUUGCUCUGACCCGCUUGUGAGCAUCCUGCCUCCAUGAGGUGCUGAGGGACACAGUCAGCCUGUGAGCUGGGGUGAGAGAUGCAGCUCUCUGCUAGGGCCACUGUGCUGUGUAUUCCCUGCGCUGAGAUCAGCCUCUCAACGAGGGGCUUCAACAGUGUCAGGAAUUUUGCAGAAGUGAGCCCUGCCUCCCUGCUGAAUGUGUUUCUGAUCCUGUGGCAUGCAGAAUGGCCUUCCCCCUGCGAAGUUCCCUAGGACUCAUCUGAAAGGUGAGCUCUCAUCCUCAGAGACCCUGUCUGGCAAAGUAGCUCUGAGACCACGUACACUGAGUUUCUUGAUGAAGACUACUAGAUUUCCCCACGGAGAGGGUGGGGAGCAUCUCCCCCCUUGCACCUUACCACAUAGUUGUGGGAUGUUCUUACUGGCUCUAGAGAGGGUUCAGUUAACCUAGCCACUAAGUAGCCUAGAUCUUCUUCCCUGUGUUAAAAAAGCCCACUCCCUGCCUUUGCCUUUUCCUGGAUCCCAUUUAUUUUACAUUGUAUUUAAGAACUGAAAGAGUUACUUGUCUGUCCGUUCAGUUAAGGUCCUGUAUUUUCUACCCAGCACUGUUCUGCUGAAGGUGCUUUGUCACCUGUCCCACACAACUCAGCUUCGUGUGAGUUAGCUUUUCCUCAUUUGAGGAUUCCUUAGAUGGACCUAAAUGUGAUGCUCACAGCCUUCACUGGAGCAAAUUUUGAUUCCCUGGUAACCUGUUUAUUAUUCUGUUUAACUUGUUUCUUAGCCAAGAGGUAGGAGAGAUCAAAGCUGCGUAGAAAGUUAUUCUUGUUUCUAGAUGUGAGCUGGGAGAUUGGCUUUCCUAAACCUCAUACUUCUGCUACAAGAGCGUCAUUUGUUUUGGAGAAGACCAUGCUCUUUAUAGGUUUAUGGUUGUUGCUAUCGGGUACCUGUGCCAUGGUGUCCUAGAACUUGCACAUAAUGAUCAAAUACUCUGGUUACAGAUAAUAAACCUCCUUUUGAGAGGAGAGGUCAGAAUUAACACAGAACACGGUGGAGUGCUGUCUCCUUGGAGGUGUACCUGGAUGAUGCACGGGCAGGCUCCUGAAACCAUCCAGCAAGCCCUAUACGUGGUGAUCGAUGCUGGGAGUGAUAGUAAGACAACUUGGAAAGCUGGAUGGGCUACAGACGGCUUUAGGGAAGCCCAGUCACCAUUGAAAAUCUACUGGAUGUACGAGACUGUGAGAGGUGUUUUAGGUGUGAGUUUUCUAAAUGCUUGGGCCACUUUCUUUUGGGAUGGGAACGAGGAGAGGAUGAUGUAGGCCCUCUGGUAGAGGGGGGUAUAGAUUUCAUAGCUUGGAGAGCAGCUGUAAGAGCUGGGAAGGUACUAAGGUAACUGUGGAAAAGGAGCUCAAGCGGUCCCCGAAAGGCAUCGUGAUCAAGCUGAACGCAACAGAUGAGAAGAGGCAACGUUUUCAGCUUCAACAGCAGACUGCAUCUGGGCAAGGUGCACGAGGAAAUAGAAAUCCUCAAGGUAGGAAGAAAUGUGGUUAACUGAUAUUUUUAAUGUUCGUGGCCACAUCGAAGAACUGCUACCUCACCCGUCUAACCCACUGGGUAAAGGUGGAAUAGGCAAGGGCAAUUGUGAAUUGGGGUUGCAAGAUGUGCUAAAAAGCACAUUCACUCUAGAGCUAAGGGCCAAGCAACAUGCUCUGGCACACAAUUUCAUCAAGGCAUUGAAGGGUCUUUUAUAUACUCCUGAAUCCCCAAAGAAAAAAAACAGUGAUUUAUUUUAUAACCUCUCUGCUUUGUGUGAAAAUUACGUUGUCAUGGGAGGUUUUGGCUGGGGAUACUGAAGAAUAUGCUGUGCCAGGGAGAGUUUCUCGUCAACCUGCAAAUGAUGGCAUGGCCAAGUUAAGGUAGUGACUUUAGAUGUCCGUACGACAGAUGAAGACUGGGUUAGGAUUGACAGUUGCCUAAAGAAAAGGCAUCAACUGAGAAACAAAGCAAGAUAGCACCCCGGACAUAACUGCAUGGUGCUCUGUAGCCUUUUCUUACAGUGAAAUUGUUCAGGGGAAGUAUUUAAAAAGUAUGAUUAAGUGGGAGAUCUGUGGAAAGAGUUUUUCCAGUUACCCAAAAACCUGUGAUUCAGUACACGUGAGAAGACAGCUUUCAGUAAACUAGUUCCUUGAAUAAGUGACCAUGUGACAAUAGUACUCAGAAAUAAGAAUAACUAAUAAAAAUAAUAAUGAA